GUGGGGAAUUUUGGACAAUGGGCGCAAGCCUGAUCCAGCAAUGCCGCGUGCAGGAAGAAGGCCUUCGGGUUGUAAACUGCUUUUGUACGGAACGAAAAGGUCUGGGUUAAUACCCUGGGCUCAUGACGGUACCGUAAGAAUAAGCACCGGCUAACUACGUGCCAGCAGCCGCGGUAAUACGUAGGGUGCGAGCGUUAAUCGGAAUUACUGGGCGUAAAGCGUGCGCAGGCGGUUUUGUAAGACAGGCGUGAAAUCCCCGGGCUCAACCUGGGAAUGGCGCUUGUGACUGCAAAGCUGGAGUGCGGCAGAGGGGGAUGGAAUUCCGCGUGUAGCAGUGAAAUGCGUAGAUAUGCGGAGGAACACCGAUGGCGAAGGCAAUCCCCUGGGCCUGCACUGACGCUCAUGCACGAAAGCGUGGGGAGCAAACAGGAUUAGAUACCCGGGUAGUCC
This 450-nucleotide ribosomal RNA is filed under the name uncultured bacterium. RNAcentral describes it as "partial 16S ribosomal RNA". It matches the Rfam family "Bacterial small subunit ribosomal RNA", at positions 354 to 796 of the family's 1533-position model. The record is from RNAcentral.